ACAUACCUGGAGGAGCAGAGAUGUUAACAUCCCUGAGGGAGUCCGACCGGUUCUGAAGACCUUUAGGAUGAGGUGCUGUUCUGGGGUCUGCGGGAGCUGAAGGGGUGCAGUGUUUGAGGUGGAGGGCCCCCUGGUGAGGGUGGAGUGUGCAGGAAGACAGCUGGAGUCUGAAGAAAUUGAGAGCUACAGCACCCUCACUCUAACUUCAAAGAGCUGGUCCGCUAUAUGGACGUGGAGUUGCCAGAGCAGGCCUACCUCCACCCUCCUCUGACGUUGUUCGUGUGGAGCACGGGCGUUUGGUCGGCUCGCUCUAGUCGGGACCACGUGGUCCAGAGCCUCAUGAACUACACCCCAGCAAGUUAGGGGGGGAGGAAGAGGAGGAAGAGGAUGAGCCAAAACCAAAAU
Etheostoma spectabile (orangethroat darter) is the source of this 405-nucleotide long non-coding RNA. RefSeq lists it as uncharacterized. The record is from RefSeq and is a predicted model, not a curated record. The transcript is spliced from 3 exons. Lineage: Eukaryota; Metazoa; Chordata; Actinopteri; Perciformes; Percidae.